UACGAAGGGGGCUAGCGUUGUUCGGAAUUACUGGGCGUAAAGCGAACGUAGGCGGCUUUUCAAGUCAGGGGUGAAAUCCCGGAGCUCAACUCCGGAACUGCCCUUGAAACUGGAUCGCUAGAAUCCUGGAGAGGCGAGUGGAAUUCCGAGUGUAGAGGUGAAAUUCGUAGAUAUUCGGAAGAACACCAGUGGCGAAGGCGACUCGCUGGACAGGUAUUGACGCUGAGGUUCGAAAGCGUGGGGAGCAAACAGG
Molecule: unclassified non-coding RNA, 253 nt
Filed under: uncultured Sphingomonadaceae bacterium
Lineage: Bacteria; Pseudomonadati; Pseudomonadota; Alphaproteobacteria; Sphingomonadales; Sphingomonadaceae
Description: contains 16S-23S intergenic spacer region
Rfam family: Bacterial small subunit ribosomal RNA
Source: RNAcentral